UGGGGGAUAUUGCACAAUGGGGGGAACCCUGAUGCAGCGACGCCGCGUGGGUGAAGGAGCGUUUCGGCGCGUAAAGCCCUGUCAGCAGGGAAGAAAGAGGACGGUACCUGAAGAAGAAGCCCCGGCUAACUACGUGCCAGCAGCCGCGGUAAUACGUAGGGGGCAAGCGUUAUCCGGAUUUACUGGGUGUAAAGGGGGCGCAGACGGCGAAGCAAGCCAGGAGUGAAAGCCCGGGGCCCAACCCCGGGACUGCUCUUGGAACUGCGUGGCUGGAGUGCAGGAGGGGCAGGCGGAAUUCCUGGUGUAGCGGUGAAAUGCGUAGAUAUCAGGAGGAACACCGGUGGCGAAGGCGGCCUGCUGGACUGCAACUGACGUUGAGGCCCGAAAGCGUGGGGAGCAAACAGG
Molecule: ribosomal RNA, 405 nt
Filed under: uncultured bacterium
Lineage: Bacteria
Description: bacterial SSU rRNA
Rfam family: Bacterial small subunit ribosomal RNA
Source: RNAcentral